UGGGGAAUAUUGCACAAUGGGCGCAAGCCUGAUGCAGCAACGCCGCGUGACGAUGAAGGUCUUCGGAUCGUAAAGUUCUGUUGCAGGGGAGGAUAAUGACGGUACCCUGUGAGGAAGCCCCGGCUAACUACGUGCCAGCAGCCGCGGGAAUACGUAGGGGGCUAGCGUUAUCCGGAUUUACUGGGCGUAAAGGGUGCGUAGGUGGUCUUUCAAGUCGGUGGUUAAAGGCUACGGCUCAACCGUAGUUAGCCUCCGAAACUGGAAGACUUGAGUGCAGGAGAGGAAAGUGGAAUUCCCAGUGUAGCGGUGAAAUGCGUAGAUAUUGGGAGGAACACCAGUAGCGAAGGCGGCUUUCUGGACUGCAACUGACACUGAGGCACGAAAGCGUGGGUAGCAAACAGG
RNAcentral lists this ribosomal RNA (402 nucleotides) under Verrucomicrobiota bacterium. RNAcentral's name for it is "Verrucomicrobia bacterium partial 16S ribosomal RNA". It matches the Rfam family "Bacterial small subunit ribosomal RNA", at positions 355 to 776 of the family's 1533-position model. Lineage: Bacteria; Pseudomonadati; Verrucomicrobiota. The record is from RNAcentral.